Molecule: long non-coding RNA, 506 nt
Organism: Thalassophryne amazonica
Lineage: Eukaryota; Metazoa; Chordata; Actinopteri; Batrachoidiformes; Batrachoididae
Exons: 4
Source: RefSeq, a predicted model, not a curated record
CUGGAGUCAAAGGUGGACCGCAUACUACAACUACUGUGAGGAAUCAGGCUGCUGAAGAAGCUGACUGCAUUGGAGAUAAUGCAGGCCAGACUUAAAACAACGGAGGAGCUGGACCAAUUCAGCAAAACGCUGGAGGACCAGGAGUUUAGGAGGACAGUGGUGAAUCUGCUGAAACAGCUAUCUGGAUCAAUGCUGAACUCCUUUGCCAGGACGAUGCUCGGUGAAAUUGGGACGUGGUGGUUGUGGGCUGGCGUCAGCCUCAAAGGAUGGAAAGGGAAGAAAGCCCUGCAGCCUCUCACUCGCUAGAGUUUUGAAGAAAGCCUUCAGCAACAAGAUGGAAAUUUUACCAGAUGCUAUCAAUGAUGCGUUAACUGAAACACUGCGCCAUGCAGCAAAGAGGGCAAAGAAGGAGGAUGAAAGAAUUGGUACUGGUGUUAAUGCUGACUCAGAUGCUGGGGUGGAUGAAGCCAUGGGCGACGAUGUGGAUGCCGAUGCCAUGGACCAUU